Long non-coding RNA from Cuculus canorus (common cuckoo), 2497 nucleotides. RefSeq lists it as uncharacterized. NCBI's taxonomy places the organism in Eukaryota, Metazoa, Chordata, Aves, Cuculiformes, Cuculidae. The record is from RefSeq and is a predicted model, not a curated record. The transcript is spliced from 12 exons.
AGAUCGGACACUCUUGGUGCUGUGCUGGUGCCUGGCUGAAGAAACCAGUUGUGGGGAGCUGAUUAUUUUGGCAGGAGGCAUAAGGAUCCUUGGAGACAUGGCUGGACUGACCAGUGGCCCUCAUCAAGAGUUUGACUUUAGCCCUGGAGACUCCGGCUGUUCAGAGCCAAGACCUCCUCUCUUCACCCAAGGUCUAAUCCAGCAGAAGUAUGCAGCAUUUCCUGCCAGGUCCUGAGCAUCCCUGUCUCCUGCGUAGCCCCCGCGCGUGCUCCAAGGCCGUGCUAGGCAUCGCCGGUGCCCCCAGCCAUCCCCUGCACGCAGCUGGCUCGACUCCACUGCCGUCGGAUGCUGUCUUUCAAAUUGCUGAAGUCAAAUUAGGGAAAACCAGCAACUUUUGAGUUUCUUCUCAGAGAGCUGAACAAACAGCUGUGCCAAAGCACGGAAUGGAUGGCACAUCCCAUCAUUGCUCUGGAGGAGAGGUGAGAUUUGGAGGAGACGGUAGAGAAGGCAAACUGUCAACAUCAUGAAUAUAACAGAGAUCAUUGAGUUUCUGACAUGCACGUAUUUUGAGGAAGGAGUAGGAGCUAUGAAACUAAGAAGAAGAUGAAGCUCUCCCUGGCUUUUCUUCUAAGAAGAGGGCUUUGACGAGAGCCUCACAUCUUCUGAAAUGGCAACAGAGCAAGCAAGGAGCAGUGCUGCCAGAAGUCACCUCAUCAGCCAGACUUUUAAGUCCUAAUUCAUCUUUAUAUGGGACUGGACCAAGGCUGGUGUCCUGCUGCAGGCUCCCCUUAUAGACCUGUUGGCUUUCUGUAAGGAAAUUACACAACGAUUUCCAUGGAAAAUAAUUCUGGAGAUUCAGCGUUGACAGGGGUUGUUCUGAAUGUAACGGGAUCCCGUGGCAGAUGUAAACCAGACUCCAGGCAUUUGCUGUGUGUUUCACCAAGGAGAGCUUUCAUGAGAACAGAAUUUCUGCUAGACCUCGAGCUAUUCUUGUCUUCAGCUUUCAGAGGAGGAGGAAGAAGAAAACUGAUCACCGCCCAGGUGUGUUACCCCCAUCCAGACCUUGCUAAGGGCAUGAAUGGUUGGUCCAUAUCCCCGGUUCAUAGCAGAGCACUCGAUGCAAGGUGAGGUCUCGCUGCUGUCUCAUUGCCACGAGCAGCUGCUGCUCUCAAGUCUUUCCCAUGGUGCUGCCCAGGCGAACGCUUGGAAUUUUGAUACAGCUGCAAGGAUCGCUGCUGACUGCCUCACCGGCGGCAUGGGAAGAUUUCCUCUUGCUUUGAUUAGAGCACGGGUUGUUUUCCCAGUGGGACACUGCUUCUGGCUGUUCCUGGCAUGGUCACUGAUAGCGCAGGAACACAAGGGUGCCAGGAAAGCCGCAGGCGUGGAGGAUGGCUGGAGCUGUUUCCCCUGAGGAGCUGCACGCUGUAAGGCCCCACACAGACGCAGCGUGGCAGUCUUAUCCAGAGCACCGUGCCUGGUGCCCGUGGGAGCUUAUUCCCACACCUGACCUUGUUUCUGACUUUCUCAUCCCCUGUACCCCCAGCUCCGGCCACCCUGGCUGCUGACCCUCCACCCAAAGCCACUGCUUUGCUGAGCAUCCAGGCUUAAAGACCUGCAGCCUCCUCAGCCGUCGCAGGGCUCAGCCUCAGCAAAACAUUCAGAGGGUCCUUCGGAGCUGCUCAGCAUCCAUCAGGACACAGGCACCUAUACCCCACAGGUUUCCUUUUGGGCCCUGAAGUAAUUAUCUUAGAGGAACCUCCUCACUGGAUGAGGUUGUGGCAUUGCAUCUUCAGAGCUCUCCAGUUGCCAAGAAGAUGUGUCCUCCACCAAAGCAGAGAUUGCCAUCCCCAAAAAUGAAAGGAAUAUGCAAAUCUUUCACCCCACCUUCCCUGUGGAUGAAAAGAUACCUGUGUACGAAGAGGAACUUGUCCUCAAGACAGAGUUUAUAUGGUCACCACUUGGAUGCCAUAUCAUUACAAGAAAGAUGUCACUGUGUCUGUUAGCAGGGUCCCUGCAUGCCCAAAGAAAUCCCAGAUGAGGAGCCUACAGCUCUCAAAAUCACAGAUUUUCUCAGCCCCCUGUGUUCCAGCAUGGUCUGGCUAUUGGUGUUGCAGCAUGAGCACAGAUAACCUUCCUCUGGGACAACCACUUCAGGUGGGACUGAGAUCCAGCUUGAAGGUCACCAAGCACUCAAACCAACUGGUCCCACCAAAGUUCCCCCAGCACGGAAAAGCAGGAUUUUCCACUCCCUCAGACUUCUUUACCAUUUGCUCAGAGGCUCAGAUGGAAAGACUGCCUCGUCCCUGCCUCGAGGACAUCUAGGAGAAACGUCCCCAGCCCUGCACAGGACAGCUGUGACUCCCUGUAGCCCUCUGCCCACGGUGCUCCUUCCCAGGAGAGACUGAGAGAGAGCAAUCUUAGACUUGGAAGAAGGUAAUUUGAAUUGGAUGUGAAGUUGUUACUAAUUUAAUGUUUAUCCAAUAACAAGGACUUUGCA